GCGGGGUUGGCCUAUAGGUUGGGCACCACUCUUCCAAGGUGGACAAGCGGGUUCGAGUCCCGCACUCCGCUCCA
RNAcentral lists this transfer RNA (74 nucleotides) under uncultured archaeon. Its description in RNAcentral is "tRNA-Gly(tcc)". It matches the Rfam family "tRNA". From Rfam's summary of the family: Transfer RNA (tRNA) molecules are approximately 80 nucleotides in length. The record is from RNAcentral.